GAUGAAGAACGCAGCGAAAUGCGAUAAGUAAUGUGAAUUGCAGAAUUCAGUGAAUCAUCGAAUCUUUGAACGCACAUUGCGCCCGCCAGUAUUCUGGCGGGCAUGCCUGUUCGAGCGUCAUUUCAACCAUCAAGCCCCCGGCUUGUGUUGGGGACCUGCGGCUGCCGCAGGCCCUGAAAACCAGUGGCGGGCUCGCUAGUCACUCCGAGCUUAGUAAUACAUCUCGCUCAGGGCGUGCUGCGGGUUCCGGCCGUUAAAAAGCCUUAUUUACCCAAGGUUGACCUCGGAUCAGGUAGGAAGACCCGCUGAACUUAAGCAUAUCAAUAAGCGGAGGA
RNAcentral lists this unclassified non-coding RNA (335 nucleotides) under soil metagenome. RNAcentral describes it as "partial contains 5.8S ribosomal RNA, internal transcribed spacer 2, and large subunit ribosomal RNA". The stretch from base 1 to 120 matches the Rfam family "5.8S ribosomal RNA", at positions 35 to 154 of the family's 154-position model. The record is from RNAcentral.